RNAcentral lists this ribosomal RNA (157 nucleotides) under Orbilia delicatula. RNAcentral describes it as "5.8S ribosomal RNA". It matches the Rfam family "5.8S ribosomal RNA". From Rfam's summary of the family: 5.8S ribosomal RNA (5.8S rRNA) is a component of the large subunit of the eukaryotic ribosome. It is transcribed by RNA polymerase I as part of the 45S precursor that also contains 18S and 28S rRNA. Lineage: Eukaryota; Fungi; Ascomycota; Orbiliomycetes; Orbiliales; Orbiliaceae. The record is from RNAcentral.
AAACUUUCAACAACGGAUCUCUUGGUUCUCGCAUCGAUGAAGAACGCAGCGAAACGCGAUAGUUAAUGUGAAUUGCAGAAUUCAGUGAAUCAUCGAGUCUUUGAACGCACAUUGCGCCCGUUGGUAUUCCGACGGGCACGUCUGUUUGAGCGUCAUA